Cercocebus atys (sooty mangabey) is the source of this 3383-nucleotide long non-coding RNA. RefSeq lists it as uncharacterized. NCBI's taxonomy places the organism in Eukaryota, Metazoa, Chordata, Mammalia, Primates, Cercopithecidae. The transcript is spliced from 4 exons. The record is from RefSeq and is a predicted model, not a curated record.
CUCUGAGUGCGGCCGCCAUGUUCUCUGUGUGUCUUUGUCUUUUGUGUGUUCUUUCAUUCUCCACCACCCCCGGCACGGACCCCAACAAGUGGCGGCAGCGAGCAGGGUAGCACCGUAAAUGAAUUCCAGAAGUUGCUGGUACAGGAAUAGUGUGAUCAAUGCACAUUCAUCAGAACCAUAGCCUCCUGGCCCCAGAAUAUUCUCCUGCAUAUCCAACUGUCAAAUCUGCAUUCCCGGCAACAAGAUGGAAGCACCAGAAGAAAGGAAAAAAAUAAGUGGACAACUCUCUUUCUGAAUCAUUGUCGAAGAUGUGGCAAAGACCAGGUCUUAAAAGGAUAAACACAUCCAAGAUGUGAGCUGGCUUUCACCUGACUGCAGAGGGGAUAAAAAAAAUUAACAUCAAAACCCAUGAGCCAUUGUCAUGUAAGUUCCUGAAAUACAUGUACAUUUAUCAUUGAUGAAUUUAUCCUAUUGAGGAGGAAUAUUAACUGCUACACAAGUUAUUUUUUUCAGAUUUCAUGAUCAGUCAUUUGCAAUGGAUUAUUUCAAACAGAGAAAUGUGGACCACCCUGGAGGUCAGAGGAAAUUGCAAUUGCUUCUACCUCCCCAGAGCAAUUUUAGCAGCAAAGUUACUACCCAGGGAAUGAUAAUUUUAUGUUCCAUUAGUGAUAAGUGCUAUUUUUAUACUGCUCAUGACCAUUUCUCACUCUCCGGAUACAUGUGCAGUUAUCUACCCCACAUUCCAAUUAUUUCCAAUUGCAAGAACUAUACUACACAUCUCAGAAGUUCAAAGGUUGUUGUAGAGUGAAAAGAGGACAGUGUAAGGGCUAUGAAUUCACAUAAGUGAAUGCAUAUGUGAUCAUUGGCAUUAAAUAUUAUCCAGUACCUUUUGUGCCCAGAGUUUAAUAGUGAAGAGUCAUUUUCAAGACAUGUUAGGCUCUCACUAUUAGCUUGAAAAUCAGUUGCAAAUAUAGAAUUAUCUAUUGAUGUAAAUAAUACAUUUUUCACUUCUAAUGUAUCUUAAAAAUGUAGAUGCUUCUGGAUAGAAUAAUAGAAAUAAUGCUUUAAGUAGGAUUUAAGUGAAAUUAAACUGACUAUAAUCAUGAAGCAUUUACAGUAGUCCAGGCUUUGUUCUAGGAGUUCUCCAUGAUGAGAUUUCUGAUGUAGUCUUCUAAUUCAUCUACAGCAUCUUCUCCAUACUACAAAUGAGACAAGAAUGGCAAAGAGAUCUUCAUGAACAUAUCAUCUGAAGCGUGUUUAGCGUACAUUAUGAAAAGGAGAAGACUCAAGAAGCAGUGGCAAUGCUAAACUUUACAUGCCACCAUGAGCUUAAUGAUGGAGGUUCUAUCUCAAGGAAUGAAUCAACAGAUUCAUUUCCUCCAUGAAACUCAAAAAAAUUAUAUUGCCAAAUUUACAUUUUAAUAAGGAAGAUACAUUUUAAAUUUAUUAGACUUUGCUGUAUGCUCAAUCUCAUAAUCUGCUACUAGUGAUAUUCUAGUUACCUCUAGUUCGGCAUUUGUUAAACUGACCACUUGUUGUUGCCUUUUUAACUCUGUACAUAGUCAUAAUUCUGAAAGUAAACAAGUCGAUAUGGUCCUUAGAAUGCCUGGCUGCUGAAUCAAAGGGAAUAUACAAAACUCUUCCGCAGCAAAACUCAGAUGUCUAGUGACAAUAAACUCACAGUAAGUGUUACCAAAUGGAUUAAAGAUGAAGUUUAAGCUUUUCUUUUUGUCGAUAUCUUUAUGGAUGGCAUUAUGUAUAAAGCAGUUAAUCUUUUAAUAUAUGACAUAAACUUUUAUAUGUAUCUUAAAAUGUCUUUUCACAAUUCCAAAUACAGAAAAAAAUUGAAAGUCUAUUUUAAAAGUCAUUAAUUUAUCCUAUCCCGUGUAACUAGAUUUGGAAACAGAAGAAAGCAAAUUAGUAUCUGUUGGGUGUCAUCUAAGUUGUAACUAUUUUGGUAGGAAUUCACAUAUAUCACCUCAUUAAAUUAAAUUUAAUGAUCACAGCAAUGACUUGAAGUAGGUAUUUGUAAUCCCGUUUCUCAGCUGGGAACACAGGGAAGCCUGGUGGUUAAGUUGUAACCAGUAAUAACACUGGUAAAAAGAACAGGCUCCAGAUUCAACUUGCCAGGGUCAAAUCUCGGUUUUUCCUCCUUUGUAGGUGUAUGUACUUAACAAACUCAUUUAAUUUUCUAAGCACAAUUUCUCAACUUAGGAACUAGAAAUCACACUUGCACAUGCACAUGACAUACUUAGGAUAAGUAUUUUCACGCCUGCCUGUUUACAUACUCACUAUGAUCAUCAUUCUUAUCAUCAUGGUCAUCCCUGUCUCCCUCGGUUAAAGGACAUGCAAUAAUCUGAGAUUUGAACACAAAGUAACUUGAUCCUCGAAAGCAUACUAUUUCAUCUAUAAACCCUAAAUUGUAACUACCUAUUAGACUACUGAAAUAUAGGUUCCCAUUUUUCUAAGACUGACAUGUAGUAUUGAUAUAGUCAGACCUCCUAUUGGUUUGGUUAGCACAUGUGAUAUUAUCACUUUAACUGCUGCUUCAUCUCUCUCAUGGCUUAAUGGUUCAGUUUGUCUUUUCCAUAGAGAAACUCCUCGAAUUUUAUUUAUAACUCUCUAUCACCUUAUAGUAUACAUGUUCCCUAGGUGACCAAAUGUAUUGUCAAUGCUUCAAUUAGCAGAAAAAUAUUAAAAAGUGAAAAAUGAAAGUUCUGUUACCAGACAGUAUUAUAUUUACAAUUUUAAAAUGUAAAAUUUGACAUAUUUAUUAGAUAACCAUAUGGAUAUGCUACAUAGACAGAUUUAUGGAUCUGAAGUCAGCGAGGAAGUCAGGGCUGGAGGUAGGCAUUUGGGAACCAUUGACCUAUCAACAGUACUUAAAACUGUGGAACUGAGCAUAGAAGCACCACUAACAUAGAUUGCACCGCAAGCGGUUCUUCCUGAGGUUGUGCAAUAUGGUAGCCCCAAAUAUUCACCACUGAUUAUUGAACUUCUCCACCUAAAUAUACCACAAGCAACUCAGCAUGUACCAUAUUAAGCUCAACAUAAUUAUCCUCAGAUAUAUCUUACUUCUCAUGAUGCUUCACUCGGUAAAUGGGUGACCAACCAUUUCUAACUUAUCCAAAGCAGAGACUUGACCAAAGCAGAUGUAUUUCUUGGCUAGGUCUUUACACUUAUCUUCAUAUCUAAUCAACUCUUUUUGACAUUGUCCUUUAGAAAAAGAAAUCACUGCCUCCUGAAAAUAAUUCAAAAGCUAUACAAAAUAUUUUGCAUGUAUUACUCUAAAUCUUGUAACAAGCAUAUGACAUCAAUAUUAUUAUCAUCUGGCUGGGCGCGGUGGCUCAAGCCUGUAAUCCCAGCAUUUUGGGAGGCCGAGA